This 73-nucleotide transfer RNA is filed under the name Bos taurus (domestic cattle). It matches the Rfam family "tRNA". Rfam says of the family: Transfer RNA (tRNA) molecules are approximately 80 nucleotides in length. Their secondary structure includes four short double-helical elements and three loops (D, anti-codon, and T loops). Further hydrogen bonds mediate the characteristic L-shaped molecular structure. tRNAs have two regions of fundamental functional importance: the anti-codon, which is responsible for specific mRNA codon recognition, and the 3' end, to which the tRNAs corresponding amino acid is attached (by aminoacyl-tRNA synthetases). tRNAs cope with the degeneracy of the genetic code in two manners: having more than one tRNA (with a specific anti-codon) for a particular amino acid; and 'wobble' base-pairing, i.e. permitting non-standard base-pairing at the 3rd anti-codon position. The record is from Rfam by way of RNAcentral. RNAcentral also lists the same sequence under 5 other names. Lineage: Eukaryota; Metazoa; Chordata; Mammalia; Artiodactyla; Bovidae.
UCCCUGGCAGUUCAGUGGUUAAGACUCUGCACUUCCACUGCAGGAGGCACGGGUUCCAAUCCUGGUCAGAGAA